GGGGAUAAGCGGAAGAAAUUCCGUCUAAUACCGCGUAAUAACUCCGAGAGGCAUCUCCUGGGGUUUAAAGGGUAACACCGGCUACGGAUGGCCAUGCGGCGCAUUAGCUAGUUGGCGGGGUAACGGCCCACCAAGGCGACGAUGCGUAGGGGUUCUGAGAGGAAGGUCCCCCACACUGGUACUGAGACACGGACCAGACUCCUACGGGAGGCAGCAGUGAGGAAUAUUGGUCAAUGGGCGCGAGCCUGAACCAGCCAAGUCGCGUGAGGGAAGACGGUCCUAUGGAUUGUAAACCUCUUUUGUCGGGGAGCAAAAGACGCCACGCGUGGCGUUCCGAGAGUACCCGAAGGAAAAGCAUCGGCUAACUCCGUGCCAGCAGCCGCGGUAAUACGGAGGAUGCGAGCAUUAUCCGGAUUUAUUGGGUUUAAAGGGUGCGCAGGCGGAAGAUCAAGUCAGCGGUAAAAUUGAGAGGCUCAACCUCUUCGAGCCGUUGAAACUGGUUUUCUUGAGUGAGCGAGAAGUAUGCGGAAUGCGUGGUGUAGCGGUGAAAUGCAUAGAUAUCACGCAGAACUCCGAUUGCGAAGGCAGCAUACCGGCGCUCAACUGACGCUCAUGCACGAAAGUGUGGGUAUCGAACAGGAUUAGAUACCCUGGUAGUCCACACAGUAAACGAUGAA
RNAcentral lists this ribosomal RNA (677 nucleotides) under uncultured bacterium. RNAcentral describes it as "bacterial SSU rRNA". It matches the Rfam family "Bacterial small subunit ribosomal RNA", at positions 139 to 813 of the family's 1533-position model. The record is from RNAcentral.